AUUGAACGCUGGCGGCAGGCUUAACACAUGCAAGUCGAGCGGUAACAGAGAGAAGCUUGCUUCUCUGCUGACGAGCGGCGGACGGGUGAGUAAUGCCUAGGAAUCUGCCUAGUAGGGGGGGAUAACUUGCCGAAAGGUAAGCUAAUACCGCAUACGUCCUACGGGAGAAAGGAGGGGACCUUCGGGCCUUUCGCUAUUAGAUGAGCCUAGGUCGGAUUAGUUAGUUGGUGAGGUAAUGGCUCACCAAGACCGCGAUCCGUAACUGGUCUGAGAGGAUGAUCAGUCACACUGGAACUGAGACACGGUCCAGACUCCUACGGGAGGCGGCAGUGGGGAAUAUUGGACAAUGGGGGGAACCCUGAUCCAGCCAUGCCGCGUGUGUGAAGAAGGUCUUAGGAUUGUAAAGCACUUUAAGUUGGGAGGAAGAGCAGUUAACUAAUAUUUGACUGUUUUGACGUUACCGACAGAAUAAGCACCGGCUAACUUCGUGCCAGCAGCCGCUGUAA
RNAcentral lists this ribosomal RNA (506 nucleotides) under uncultured bacterium. RNAcentral describes it as "partial 16S ribosomal RNA". It matches the Rfam family "Bacterial small subunit ribosomal RNA", at positions 30 to 523 of the family's 1533-position model. The record is from RNAcentral.